RNAcentral lists this ribosomal RNA (608 nucleotides) under Eropterus sp. UPOL A00550. RNAcentral's name for it is "partial 16S ribosomal RNA". It matches the Rfam family "Bacterial large subunit ribosomal RNA", at positions 1816 to 2723 of the family's 2925-position model. Lineage: Eukaryota; Metazoa; Arthropoda; Insecta; Coleoptera; Lycidae. The record is from RNAcentral.
CAUGUCCUUUUGAUUUGAAUUUAAGGUCUAAUCUGCUCAAUGAUUAUUUAAAUUGCCGCAGUAUUUUAACUGUGCAAAGGUAGCAUAAUAAUUAGUUUCUUGAUUAGAAGCUGGAAUGAAUGAUUGGACGAGAAAAUAACUGUCUCUUUUUAAUUGCUUAUUGAAUUUUAUUUUUAAGUAAAAAAGCUUAAAUUUUAAUAAAAGACGAGAAGACCCUAUAGAGUUUGAUAUUUAAAUACUAUUAAUUUAUGGUAUGUUUAUUUAGUACUUAAGUAUUUAAUUGGGGUGAUUUGAAGAUUGAAAUAAUUCUUUAAUUUAUUUAUUGCUGAUUGGUAAUAUUUAAAAUCUAAGAUUUUUAAGUUUAAUAUAAAUUACCUUAGGGAUAACAGCGUAAUUUUUCUUUAAAGUUCUUAUUGAAAGAAAAUUUUGCGACCUCGAUGUUGGAUUAAAAUAUAUUUUUGGAGUAGUUACUAAAAUAUUAGGUCUGUUCGACCUUUAAAAUUUUACAUGAUCUGAGUUUAAACCGGUGUAAGCCAGGUUGGAUUCUAUCUUUAGUUUUAUAAUAUAUUUUAGUACGAAAGGACCAAAUAUAUAUUAAAUAUUAGUUG